GCGAGAAACCUUUGCAAUGUGCGAAAGCACGACAAGGUUAAUCCGAGUGUCUCCUGCUAAAGGAGUCUUUUGCCAGUCCUAGAAACACUGGCGAAUAAGGGGUGGGCAAGUUCUGGUGUCAGCCGCCGCGGUAAUACCAGCACCUCGAGUGGUCAGGAGGUUUAUUGGGCCUAAAGCAUCCGUAGCCGGCCGUCUAAGUUUUCGGUUAAAUCUAUGCGCUUAACGUAUAGGCCGCCGAAAAUACUGGACAGCUAGGGAGUGGGAGAGGUACACGGUACUCAAUAGGAAGGGGUAAAAUCCUUUGAUCUAUUGAUGACCACCUGUGGCGAAGGCGGUGUACCAGAACACGUUCGACGGUGAGGGAUGAAAGCUGGGGGAGCAAACCGGAUUAGAUACCCGGGUAGUCCCAGCUGUAAACGAUGCAGACUCGGUGAUGCAUUGGCUUGUGGCCAAUGCAGUGCCGCAGGGAAGCCGUUAAGUCUGCCGCCUGGGAAGUACGUACGCAAGUAUGAAACUUAAAGGAAUUGGCGGGGGAGCACCACAAGGGGUGAAGCCUGCGGUUCAAUUGGAGUCAACGCCAGAAACCUUACCCGGGGCGACAGCAGAAUGAAGGUCAAGCUGAAGACUUUACCAGACAAGCU
This 641-nucleotide ribosomal RNA is filed under the name uncultured archaeon. RNAcentral's name for it is "bacterial SSU rRNA". It matches the Rfam family "Archaeal small subunit ribosomal RNA", at positions 339 to 981 of the family's 1478-position model. The record is from RNAcentral.